GACCUGUGACAUGGCCACAGGGGUGUGCCAGUGCCACGAGGAGUUCACGAGCGAGGACUGUGCCAACAAACAAUGUCCCGGGGACUGCAGUGGCAAUGGGUUCUGUGACACAGGAGAGUGCUACUGCCACAAUGGCUUGUUUGGCCUCGACUGCUCCCAGGAAAUCGACAACCCAACUGAACUGUUGUCUGACCAAGUGACAGAGGACACAAUUACUGUUUCCUGGAACAAAGUCCAGGCUUCAAUAGACAGAUACAGACUGAGCUACACCUCGGCUAAAGGGGACACAGACGAGACAGAGGAGGAGAAAGACAAGAACGUCCCAGUCCCUUGGCAGGACUGGAGCCAGGCACGGAGUACAUCAUUUACAUCUGGGCAGAGAAGGGAGAACAGCAGAGCAAGGGAGUCAGCACUGAGGCUGUGACAGGGAGCUCAAGCAUAUCUGUGAAAGGGCUUCCGGGUCUCUCCAAAUAUCUAUGUUAUCUCUGCACAGCAAUUCUACUUCUCAAAACAGAGGAUAAACAGCAUCAGGCAUAAUAUAUGGGGUUUCCCACGCUACUACUACUCUGCAGGCCUCGGCAUUCCCAGCUGCAAGGUCAGUUGAGUGAAUGUACCAUCUUGCUCACUGUUCUUCUGCUUUUAACCCGUCCCUCCCAACAGAAGGACCCUGCUCUCUUGGUAUUUUGUUUCAUGAGCUCUCUUUGCAUUGCUGGGUAUUGAAGAUGCAUGGUUGUAACCCCACUUAAAUUAUUAAAUAUAAUAAUUUAAAUAUCUGCCUAUAGGCUCCCAUAACAGACACUAAUGCUAUAGGUGAUUCUAGAAGAGGCAGAUGUUGUAAUACAGGAGUGAUGACAGCUGAUGGUCCUUAUAUCACUAGUCCUUCAUCAAAAGCAUGCGGUGCUUCAUAUGCUGCUACCAAGCCCAAAAAUAACAGAAGUUUAACAGCCAAAGUGAAAUCAUUUCAGAAUCAGACUUAAAAAUAAUGGCCUGCCCUUUGAUUCGUGAACUUAGGCUGGUCCUAGGAGGCUGCCAAGCAGGCUUAAAUCUGUCUUGUUUGGUCAACCAUAAGGAUUGUGGUAAACUGGGAACAUUCAGGGUCACUCCGUAUCUAUUGUCCUUGUUAAUGUACUUAUUUGUAGUUUAUGAAUUCAGCUGGUCCAAGAUAGAUGGGUUGAAGCUUGGAUUUAGGGCAAGAUGCCAAAGAGUUCACCAGUGCUUACGGAGGUUGAGGGCAGCUGAUGGGGACAAAUGGAGAUCUCGUGAGGUCAAAAGGCCAAACCUAUCUGGAACUAGAAAUGCAAGGAGUGUUUCAUCAGUUUCAAAUGGAUUUUUUUUGAACUGGCACAAAAACAGAGGCACCUGGAAAUUUCUCAUGAGGUGAAACUGUUGGGAGAGGGAAUGCAUUUAGCACUAGUAGGGAUAUUUUUGAAGUAUCUUCAGAAAAAAUUACACCUCUGCUAAAAUAAUACAACUUCUGAGGAAAAAAGAAUACAUUUUCUCACUCAAGGUGCUGGCUGAUUAUUCUUAAGCAUUAAAACUGGCUGUGGCAGGGAGCUGCUCUGCAGGGACCUCCUGCUCCCAUGGGAACUGCCGGCCGGCCUUUAAGGGCAGCGCUGUGAGACUACAGCCUCUGAGGCUGCCUUUCCCAUCCUGGGCUUCUCGGGAUGGAAUUCAUUCCUUUUAGCUCCCUCUCCUGUCCAGCGGGAGGUACACAGGUAGUCAGCUGCUCUGACAACAUUUCUGGGCUGUUUUACUUAAACCAAUUGUUUAGUGCUCUCCCAAAUGAAGUCCGAGUUCGUCAGGUAAUGGACUAAUGCUUAACUUCUCAGACGAGUGAAAGGUGGUCUCAGGUUGUAAGGAAUAGCCAGCAUUAUAAACACCAUGGUGUGUGAAAUACAGUGUUACUGUCCCUGUUCCUAUACUUGGUGUUUCGAUUUCUUCUUCUCUGCCUUUUUUAUCUGCUUUAAGCAGUAACCUUAUGCACAAGGAGUGCAACAUUUCCUGGGAGGAGCCACCCUGCUCCACUCUUCUCAUUUAAAUAAGAGAGAAAAAAGUUGGCCUUGGCUUUCUCCAUGACCUUUUCACAACUGUAUUAUUUCACUGAUGCAUUAUAAUUGUUGGUGUUUUUAUGCUUCCAGCACUCUUCAAGGCCUGGGAUGCUUUAUUGCCUGGUUUAUACAGAGAAGAACUGAACUGACAGACAAAAACAUGACCAUAGUCCUCCAGGGAGGCUUAUGGAAGAGCAGGGAAUUGAAAUUAAUUAUUCAGUUAUAGUUUAAAAUAAACUCAGGUGUAGUUCAGUGUUGGAGCACCCAUCCUUGGAGGCCAGCAGUGCCCACCAGGGACCUUUGCUCUAAAACUUCCAAAGUCAGACAAGCUCUUGCUGCCCAUGGAGUGCCCAGGCUGGCCCACCAACUGCACCACAAAGCCAAACCUUGCAGGCUUUCUUUACCAGGGAUAAGGGCUGUUGUUUACUUUUUGCAGCCCGGUGCUCAAAAUGCGAUUUCUCCUAGGCAAAAUUCCAGACGAACCAAGAUUCCUCCUGGACAAAAUGUGCCAGCAGAGAAAGCUUAGUUACAAAUUUCUCACAGGAAAUUUUCAGACGUGCCCAUAAAUCUCAUCACUGUUUGGGAGAAGGUUUUCUCAUCUGUAACAGAAUAGUCAUGUCAUUUGCUAUUGAAUGCUGGUGGUAAUCUGGUCAGAAGAGGACCCCGUGAUUAACUAAUUUUCCCUUUUUGUUGUUCGGGGUGACUUCUUACCAGGGAUGUUAUUCUUGAUAUCCCGGGGCAAAUGGAGGUAUUCACCUGGUCAGCGUCAGGAAUCAUCAUAACUGAGGCCUCGGCUUCCUCUUUUCCUUCGGUUGCUGUGUGUGUGCCGGACACCUCUCGCAGGACUAACCCUGUUGCUUUUAUGUCCAACGUGCUGUUUGCCUGCAGUAUCCUGUACAAGACAAGGCUACCUUUCCUUGUGGGAAUGGACUAGCCGGGCUUUGGCAAUCUGGCCCCUAGAAAGACUAAGUGACCUCCUCCAACAGGGGAAGACUGAAGCAAGCGGUGCCAGAAAGAACUGGAGUUUCUGAAGAACAAAAUCUGGAAGUAUGCCCCCGAAAAAUCCCCCCGGAUGGUCAGUGGUCUGACUUCCACGGACCGGUGGCCUUGGCCAGGAGCAGUCCUGCUGGAUUGUAAUUUUAAUUUCCUGCCCAGGCUGUAAUUUUAAUUUCCAUUGGGUGCUGGCAAAGCCCCUCUGGGUGAGCCCCAGUGCCUGGCAUGAGUGGAGUGGGCUUUCAGGGCACUCAUUGCAGGCGUUGUGUUUAAGGGAAGAGCAGGGGAGCCUUUCUCUGGCCCAGAGAAGAUGCAGUGUUCUUCCUAUCUGGAAGACUAAGAACUAAAAAAAUAAAAAAUAAACGAAAUAAAGAAGGGAAUAUAAAAUUCGAAAGAAAAUUAAAGAAAAAAUAAAAGCGAGCAAACUGAAAAGGCAAUAAAAUGAAAAGUGAAAUGAAAAACAACCCUUUUUGGGCACCCCCUUUAAUCCCCGCCCCACCCUCCAAUCCAUAAAUUGGGGGUCACCCCUAACAGGUGAGAAGGGGACCCCAAAAUGUGGGUGGGGGAAUCCCAGGGAGCCAAAAAAGCGACGGAGGGGGAGACGCGAAAUGUGAGGCAGGGGCCCCAGAAAAGCGGGCGAGGCGCGCACAGUAAGAGAGCGAAGCCGGGUGG
Molecule: long non-coding RNA, 3713 nt
Organism: Pseudopipra pipra
Lineage: Eukaryota; Metazoa; Chordata; Aves; Passeriformes; Pipridae
Exons: 5
Source: RefSeq, a predicted model, not a curated record